GAUGGACGCUGGCGGCGUGCCUAAUACAUGCAAGUCGAGCGAACAGACGAGGAGCUUGCUCCUCUGACGUUAGCGGCGGACGGGUGAGUAACACGUGGAUAACCUACCUAUAAGACUGGGAUAACUUCGGGAAACCGGAGCUAAUACCGGAUAAUAUAUUGAACCGCAUGGUUCAAUAGUGAAAGACGGUUUUGCUGUCACUUAUAGAUGGAUCCGCGCCGCAUUAGCUAGUUGGUAAGGUAACGGCUUACCAAGGCAACGAUGCGUAGCCGACCUGAGAGGGUGAUCGGCCACACUGGAACUGAGACACGGUCCAGACUCCUACGGGAGGCAGCAGUAGGGAAUCUUCCGCAAUGGGCGAAAGCUUGACGGAGCAACGCCGCGUGAGUGAUGAAGGUCUUCGGAUCGUAAAACUCUGUUAUUAGGGAAGAACAAAUGUGUAAGUAACUAUGCACGUCUUGACGGUGCCUAAUCAGAAAGCCACGGCUAACUACGUG
This 497-nucleotide ribosomal RNA is filed under the name uncultured bacterium. Its description in RNAcentral is "partial 16S ribosomal RNA". It matches the Rfam family "Bacterial small subunit ribosomal RNA", at positions 28 to 507 of the family's 1533-position model. The record is from RNAcentral.